Molecule: ribosomal RNA, 468 nt
Filed under: uncultured bacterium
Lineage: Bacteria
Description: partial 16S ribosomal RNA
Rfam family: Bacterial small subunit ribosomal RNA
Source: RNAcentral
GACGAACGCUGGCGGCGUGCUUAACACAUGCAAGUCGAACGGAAAGGCCCUGCUUUUGUGGGGUGCUCGAGUGGCGAACGGGUGAGUAACACGUGAGUAACCUGCCCUUGACGUUGGGAUAACUUCAGGAAACUGGGGCUAAUACCGGAUAGGAGCUCCUGCUGCAUGGUGGGGGUUGGAAAGUUUCGGCGGUUGGGGAUGGACUCGCGGCUUAUCAGCUUGUUGGUGGGGUAGUGGCUUACCAAGGCUUUGACGGGUAGCCGGCCUGAGAGGGUGACCGGCCACAAGGGGCCUGAGAGAGGGCCCAGUGGCCUACGGGGGGCAGCAGUGGAGAAUAUUGCCCAAUGGGCGGGAGUGUGUUGCGGCAACCCUGCGAGCGUGAUGCCGGCUUUGGGGUUGUAAACCGCUUUCACCUGAUACGAAGCGUGAGUGACGGUAAUGGGUAAAGAAGCACCGGCUAACUACGUG